UGGCGGACGGGUGAGUAACGCGUGAGUAACCUGCCCUGGAGUGGGGGACAACAGUUGGAAACGACUGCUAAUACCGCAUAAGCCCACGGCCCGGCAUCGGGCUGCGGGAAAAGGAUUUAUUCGCUUCAGGAUGGACUCGCGUCCAAUUAGCUAGUUGGUGAGGUAACGGCCCACCAAGGCGACGAUCCAUAGCCGACCUGAGAGGGUGACCGGCCACAUUGGGACUGAGACACGGCCCAA
RNAcentral lists this ribosomal RNA (240 nucleotides) under uncultured bacterium. Its description in RNAcentral is "partial 16S ribosomal RNA". It matches the Rfam family "Bacterial small subunit ribosomal RNA", at positions 96 to 334 of the family's 1533-position model. The record is from RNAcentral.